Molecule: non-coding RNA, 3328 nt
Organism: Oryctolagus cuniculus (rabbit)
Lineage: Eukaryota; Metazoa; Chordata; Mammalia; Lagomorpha; Leporidae
Source: RefSeq, a predicted model, not a curated record
CAUACCCUUUCCACCUCAAAGAUACCAGAGCAUGCAGAAAAGGUCUAGAGAUUUUUCCAAGCCUUACUCGGAGAAAUCCCAAAGAAUUGUCAUUAUCUGAGGGUUCCUGGGAACACCUAAUUUGCAAAGGCAUCUUCAUUUGAGUUUCUUCUCUCAGAGUUUAAAGGCUUCUGCCUUGGGAUAGACAAGAUACACAGUAUUUGUUGAAAAUGUAUAGAUAAAUCGUAUGAAGCUAAGUAGACCCGGGGUAAUCCCCUUGGUUCCUUUGAUAUUGUGGUAUCAAAGUAGGAAUCAGCCAGUUUUUGUUCAUUAGAAUGGAAUAAGAUAGGAAGGACCCUGGCUGAAUUCUAAUUCUAAUUCUAGAAUGCAACUUAGAAAAACAGCUUUGCUUGGCUACUGUAGUUUCUCCUGUGUAAUAUAGAGAGUAAAUAGAAUUGUUAAACACUUGCCAUGUGAUUCUGCUCAUUUACUGACAUAUUCCAAUUCCAAUUUCUGUGGUCAACUCUCUGAGUUGUUAUUUAGAUGUUGUAUUUCCUGGGAAAUUCAUUAGAACUCAUAAACUAAUACUGAGCCUAUGGAUGGCUGCCCACUAUCAAUGUAUCUGGAGGUAUAUGAGAGACAAAAUUCACAUUGAAGGAAUGUAUUGAGUGAAUCUGCCAAAGUGUGACUCUAAGAUAACAGCAGAACGAAUCCACAGCAACAGAGAAGUAACAAAAAGAACAAAGACUCGACGGGACAGUGAGGAAAGAGGAUAGUAAUACUGCUAAGGAUGGCAACAUGGCACAUCCAGGUACUGGCUAGGAGUCACCAUUUUACCAAGUCAAGGGAAUAAAGGUGAACGUGGUUCUACAUUCUGAGGGCAAUAGACUGAAUUCAUGUAAGUUGACAUAUCCAGAGCCUAAAAUAGGAAACCUUCAAGUAGAUCAUCGAUUGCUGAUUCAGAUAACAAGCACCCCUUGCUGCAGUGUUUCCAGUUCUCAGAAAGGAUGAUGCUUCCAAAUCUUGGGAGAGAUGAUUCAACACUAAAGAUAACGUCUUGAUCCUGCUCCAGAGAGGAGAACACACAGGACAAUAACAGCCAGCCCUAGGCUUAUAAAGACCCAUUUUCAACAGAAUUGUUCUGAAAGACAUCUGGAUAAAACUGCAGCAUCCCCUAGCAAUAGUCAUGACAGCCCAGAACGAUUUUCAGCUAUCUCAAAAACAGGUUUUGCAGCAGUUGGAGAAUGAAGGAAACGGUUACCUCAGCUAAACCAGAAGACACAUAUGCCUGUCCUCAGUCUGUCAAACUGUGGAAUACUUUAGCUCAGUUAUUUGAACUAUACCUGCUCUCUUAUGCAUAUCAGCUGAAUAAAGUCUUUAAACCAUGAUUUUUUUUUCUUUUUUUGCCACAUCUCAAGGUAAGUAAAUUAGGUAAAGAUGGUUGCAGAAAUUUAUGUGCUCUACUUUGUUAUUUUUAAUCAGUGAUGAGGUAAUGGCUGGGGAAGGACUGAUUUUAGGAUGGUCAUGGUCAUUUGUUUAGCCUAGCUAGAAGACUUCCCUGAAAUGAAUUGUCAUAGACACUGUUUUACUUCAUUUGUAAUCUUAUCUUCCAGGAACAACACAUUGGAAAAAGUAGCUGUAUAUUUUUUUUUAAUUUAUCUAUUUAUUUGAAAGAGAGUAACAGAGAGAGGGGGAAGACACUAUGAGAGAGAUCCUCUAUCUGCUGGUUCACUCCUCAAAUGGCCACAAUAGCUGGGUUAGGCCAGGGUGAAUCCAGGAACUCUAUCCAGGCCUCCUCAGUGGAUAGUAGGGACCCAAGAACUUGGGCCAUUUUCUGCUGCUUUCCCAGGUGCAUUAGCAGGGGGCUGGUUCAAAAGUGGACCAACAAAGACUCAAACUGGCCCUUAUAUAGGAUGCAAACAUCACAGGCAGCAGAUUAUCCUGCUAUGCCAUAAUGCUGGUCCCUAUUUUAGUUUUUAAUGUCUGUUCCAGUAGUAUUUCAACUAGUUACAAAGGUAAGUGUCUGAGCAGUGGUUAGGAUGCCGCACUAAAUACGCUCAUCCCAUAUCAGAGUGCUGAUUCCUAACUACUCUGCUUUGGAUCCAGCUUUUUGUUAAUAUGCACCCUGGGUGGCACCAGAUGAUGGUUAAAAUACUUGGGUAUUUGGUACCCAUGUGUGAGACUCACUGGGAUCUGGGCUUUGUCCUGAUCCAGUCCUGGCUUUUGAAGGCAUCUAGGAUGGAGGUAGGAGAUGAAAGAGUACUUAUGAGGUCUCUCUUUGUAGGCUGUCUGUGUCUCCAUCAUUCAAAUAAAAUGAAAACAGAUAAAUAAAAAUUGAAGAACAUAAUUAAGUAAAUACAACAGUGUAUGUUUGACCCCAACAUUUUUCAGUAUAACAAUAUGUGUGGUUCUAAGAUUAUUUAGUAUCCGCACUUGAAAAUUUUUAAAUUUUUAUUUACUAGCCAUAUAUUCAGUAUUACCUUGCAUUUAUUUAUUGUAAUUAUUUAUAAUUGCAGCUAUUACAACAACGAUAAUUAUUUAACCAUUAUAGACAUUGAUAGUUGCAGGCCAAAUAGUAUUUUAUUCAUCUUUGUAAGCCAUUUGGUGAGUGUUUUGUAGGCAUAAAAUGCAAAGAAGUUUAUUUAUAUUAAGAGACAUAUUUAGAGGAUAACAACUUUAUGAGUAAAGCCCAAUACCACAAAAAUUUAAUACAUUUCUAAUCUAUGUUGAACUGUAUUAAAUCAUUUGCUUACUAUAACCCAAGGUUUAGCCUAAGGUAUAUCUGGAUUAAAAGCAUGCAUUUCUCUUCCAUGGAUAAAGAUCUUUGAGAUUACAUUUCUGUUCUCAAUUAAAUCAUAUUCUAACCAAAAAUGAAGUCUUUCAUAUAAUUUAACAGAUACAUAAGGUGUAUCAAGGACCCCUCCAUGUAAAAUGCAACCAACAGAUAAUCUGUGUCCCUUUGAUUCAUUCAGUAGUCACAGAAAGGAAAAUGUUAAAUAUCAAAUAAGAGAUUUACAUUUAAGGCAAUGAAAUAUCAACAAUUUAUGAAGUUUCAUCUUAUUUUCUCAAUCUUUUAUGCCUUUUCAGACAUAUUUUAUUUUCAGGAAUGUUGAUAGGAUGAAAAACUGAUUGCAAGAAACAUUUGUUACAUAACAUCUGCAAGGAGGGGAUAAAUAAGUGCUUUUGAUUUCUUAUCACCCAGAAAUAUUGGGACCAGUGUUGUGGGAUAGCAGGUAAAGCUGCUGCCUGCAACACCAGCAUCCAUAUGGGUGCUAGUUGGUGUCCUGACUGCUCCACUUUCAAUCCAGUUCCCUGCUAAUAGCCUAGGAAAAGUGGUAGAAGAUGGCCC